This 339-nucleotide long non-coding RNA is filed under the name Elaeis guineensis (African oil palm). RNAcentral's name for it is "long non-coding RNA (EGUI_LNC023365)". Lineage: Eukaryota; Viridiplantae; Streptophyta; Magnoliopsida; Arecales; Arecaceae. The record is from RNAcentral.
GUGUGCAAUAUGAAUAUGUUGAAUAUAAAAAAAUAAUAUUUAGAAGCCUUCAGGUCUACAUGUUCUUCCUAUUUUCUCCACUGAGAUGGAAGAAGAUAUGUACCAUAAGCAAAGAAUAUAGAAAGAACUAUGAUGGCUAUUUAUUGGCAGUGGAAGAGGAAGAGGAAGUCAUGUCGAUCUUCUCGAUCUAGUUUGAUAGUAUGCACCUAGGGUUCAAAUUUAUAUUUGUCUGAGAUGUUUCUUUUGGGGAGCAAUUAUGGUUGGCUUAAGGGACUUUAUCUCCUUAAAUUGCCUUUAGCUGCUAUUUAUUGCAUCAUUUUCAUAAGAGUUUCUAAAAUC